RNAcentral lists this ribosomal RNA (564 nucleotides) under uncultured bacterium. Its description in RNAcentral is "bacterial SSU rRNA". It matches the Rfam family "Bacterial small subunit ribosomal RNA", at positions 28 to 638 of the family's 1533-position model. The record is from RNAcentral.
AACGAACGCUGGCGGCAGGCCUAACACAUGCAAGUCGAACGCGACCUUCGGGUCGAGUGGCGCACGGGUGAGUAACGCGUGGGAAUCUGCCCUGUGGUACGGAAUAACAUCGGGAAACUGGUGCUAAUACCGUAUAUCCCCUGAGGGGGAAGGAUUUAUCGCCAUGGGAGGAGCCCGCGUAGGAUUAGCUAGUUGGUGAGGUAACGGCUCACCAAGGCGACGAUCCUUAGCUGGUCUGAGAGGAUGAUCAGCCACACUGGGACUGAGACACGGCCCAGACUCCUACGGGAGGCAGCAGUGGGGAAUAUUGGACAAUGGGGGAAACCCUGAUCCAGCCAUGCCGCGUGUGUGAUGAAGGCCUUCGGGUUGUAAAGCACUUUCGCACGUGACGAUGAUGACGGUAACGUGAGAAGAAGCCCCGGCUAACUUCGUGCCAGCAGCCGCGGUAAUACGAAGGGGGCAAGCGUUGUUCGGAAUUACUGGGCGUAAAGGGCGCGUAGGCGGUGUACUAAGUUAGGCGUGAAAGCCCUGGGCUCAACCCGGGAAUUGCGCUUGAUACUGGUA